This 253-nucleotide ribosomal RNA is filed under the name uncultured bacterium. Its description in RNAcentral is "partial 16S ribosomal RNA". It matches the Rfam family "Bacterial small subunit ribosomal RNA", at positions 524 to 776 of the family's 1533-position model. The record is from RNAcentral.
UACAGAGGGGGCAAGCGUUGUUCGGAAUUACUGGGCGUAAAGGGCGCGUAGGCGGCCGCCUAAGUCAGACGUGAAAUCCCUCGGCUCAACCGGGGAACUGCGUCUGAUACUGGAUGGCUUGAGUGCAGGAGAGGAACGCGGAAUUCCAGGUGUAGCGGUGAAAUGCGUAGAUAUCUGGAGGAACACCGGUGGCGAAGGCGACAUCCUGGACCGGUAUUGACGCUGAGGCGCGAAAGCCAGGGGAGCAAACGGG